UGAAUUGCAGAAUCCCGUGAACCAUCGAGUCUUUGAACGCAAGUUGCGCCCGAGGCCACCCGGCUGAGGGCACGUCUGCCUGGGCGUCACGCCACCCUCGCUACCCCAUGGCCGUCGGUGCGGUCAUGGGUGACGCGGAGAUUGGCCAUCCGUGUCAGGCUGUGUGCGGUUGGCCCAAAAAUCUGGUAGCGGUGCGGCACGGCACGACGUGUGGUGGUUGAGAGGUGACCCAUCUCUGCUCUUACGUCGUGCCCGCUGCCCCGCCGCGCUUAGCCACAAGCGUGGGACCCAACUCGCCCGUUCAAACGGGCGAUCGAAUCGCGACCCCAGGUCAGGCGGGGCCACCCGCUGAGUUUAAGCAUAUCAAUAAGCGGAGGAGAAGAAACUUACGAGGAUUCCCCUAGUAACGGCGAGCGAACCGGGANGCAGCCCAGCUUGUGAAUCGGAUGGCCCUGCCGUCUGAAUUGUAG
Molecule: ribosomal RNA, 470 nt
Filed under: Peumus boldus
Lineage: Eukaryota; Viridiplantae; Streptophyta; Magnoliopsida; Laurales; Monimiaceae
Description: eukaryotic LSU rRNA
Rfam family: Eukaryotic large subunit ribosomal RNA (bases 322-470)
Source: RNAcentral